GCAAUGCAGAAAAGAAAAAACAUAAGGAUAAACAUAUUGAGAUUUGCUCUUGCUCCAGCACAAUUCCCUGAAAGGCUUCUUCUAAGCCUGGUAUCCUGGGAGUGGCAGUGUUUUCAGCGUGGCAGACAGAGCAGUCAGGAAGCUGGGAGCCCAAACAGCGUGAGACAAAGCCACAAAACAGAGGCCGCGCAUCAGUCGAAAGUGCUCCCGGUGCCUGUGGUCCAUAGAGUGGAGUGAGUCUCUAAGCAAAUCUGGAGGGACUCUGGGAGCUGAAGAUUCAGAAUAUCUCCACUUAUUCUUGCCAUAGCCUUUGCUGCUCAACUGUUGGGUGCCAUGAUGAUGGAGUCUUGCUCUGUUGCCAGGCUGGAGUGCAGUGGCGCAAUCUCAGCUCACCGCAAACUCCGCCUCCUGGGUUCAAGUGAUUCUUCUGCCUCAGCCUCCUGAGUAGCUGGGAUUACAGGCCAGACCUGUACCGGAAGAGCAUAUGGGCACAGAAGAAGUCAGAAGUAAAGCAACAGAGGUUAGCUUCACUUUACCAGCGGAGCUCAGGGUUCAGCAGGUAGAAGAAAAGGAAGAAUUCUCAAGCCAUGUAGCUUAUCAAGACUUCCACCUGGGACCACCCAUCAUUCUGCCCUUUCGAAUUCUGAGCUGACAUCACCUCUGGGUAUAUCAAUGAACCACACAGACUCAGCCAACAGAAAACCAUGGAGAAGAGAUCUUGUUAUCAUUACUGAAAUUUUGAUUUUAAAUGGAAAGUUUGUUUUCAGCCAAGAAAAAGCUGGUGAGAAAGAAGCAAAUGAACCAAGUAUUUGUUUAUGUACUUCACAUUACAAGGCUGGUUAAAUGAUUUUAUUCAUUAGUAAUUAGUCUAUUCAACAGCACUGUGAAGUAGGUAUUAUUGCUCUCAUUGUUUAUAUUAAUCAGAGUGACACUAGGAAUACUGCUAAUAAUGGUAACUUGCAUUUCUUGGGCAUUUUCCCGGUGCUAGGAUCUGUGAACACCAAGGUAAAUUUCACUCAGAUUUGAUUUUCAAGUACAGAUGAGGAAAUUAAUGCUCAGUAAGUCCAUGUGACUUGCUAUUGUCAGACAGCCUGGGCUUGGCCAUCUGAUUAAAAAAUCAGUGGGCUUUGCAUAAUACUAAGCUGCUAUAGGUCAUGGGGCUCAGAUUGGAGAAGAAAUAUGAAAUAUUUCCAAAUGUGAACCUGAAAGAGCCAGUUCUUCAAAAUGAAUCCCAAGAGCCUAACUGAGCCUAAAUUUAAAAUAGUCAAGCAGUCAUUUGCUAAUUAGAGGUCACACAUAUCUUUUAGUUCCCAGAAAACUCAUUCCUCGGGUUUAAGGUUGGGACCUUCAGAACUCCCAAAUGUCUAAUUUGGGAACUAACCAAUCAGAGCUCACCUGCCUUGGCCAAUCAGGGAUCAACUAUAUCAACCAAUUAGAACUAAGCAAGUUUGAAUGCUUCAUUUGCAUAAAUGAACCUGAUUGGGAACCUGGGUGUGAAUUUUCUCUAUAAAAGCAAAACUCUCCCUUUGUUCUCUGGAUGGCACCUUUCCUUUACAUUGAAGGUUGCAUCUUCCAAGUUUGCAAUCACUUCUCUGGAAUAAAGUCUCUUUCCUCAAAAUUCCUUUUUAGAGAACUUUUGUUCACAUGUGCCCAGGGUAACAAAGCUAGGAAGUGGUAAGCUUGGGAGUUAACCUAGACUGGUUUACUCUCAUAUUGCUUAUGUGGUCAGAUUCACCAAAUUGGAUUUUGUUUCUUCAGAUUUUUCUUUUGCUUUUACCAAAGUUACACUGCAGUAAAGUAACUGCUUCCCUUUUUCUCAGACUAAACUUUUUACAGCCCCAAUAUUUAUUUAUUGGUGCUUCCAACACACCCUAUUAUAUUCUGCAAAUUUAUAUUCUGCAAAUCACUAUUUGGUGGAUAUUUACAAAUUCUCUACAAAUGGCUUGUAUGUGAAGACCUCAGUCAUGACCUCAGCCUGGUGGGCACCAGUUCCACUUUCUCAGAGCAGUGGAUUUGGGGGCCAGUGUGGCCUCUGUUUGCAUCUGAGGGAGGGUGGCCUCGAGACAGAUACCUGGGGUGAGAGUUACUGCUGUGGUUUCAGUCCAUUUCUUGGAAGAUGUCCUGGCUUCUCCAACUGGUGGACUCCUUGUCCUUCCCUAACAACGUGUCUCUAAUGUUUGUGUGACUCUGGGUCAUAGUUCCUUCUGUUUCAUGUACCAUGAAUGCUGUUUCUUGACUCUUUGCAUGUAAAAACUCACUCAAAGCCUAGCUCAAAUGUUACAUUUAUUUUCUGGGUUUUUAUAGUCCUUUGACUAACUCUUCACCUUUCUUCAUGUGGGCACAGUUUUUCUGAAGUAUACAGUUAGUUGAGGAGUGUUUGUCAGUCUCUCAACUUCAAAUCUCUGCUACUAGCUAUGCAAUACUGAGAAGGCCACUUAAUCCUUCCAUGCCUAUGUUUCUGUGUUGAUAAUUUUGGAGAUGAUAUUUACUUCAUGGCUAAGAAUGUUAUGCAGCAAUGUUGGUUGUGAAAGUGCUUGGCAGAUUAGAAGGUGUGGUAUUCACUGCUGGGUGGCUGAUCCAACCUUUAUUCCCAAUUCUUUCCUCCCUGGCUUCCUUUUACUCUAUAGGCUAGAAAUGCUAAAUGCUCACUCUCCAGCUUCCCUUGCAGCUAAGGCUGGCUAUGGAACCUAGGAAGAACCAAAGGAGCACACACGGAGGUCCUCUGGGAGGCUCUGCACAGUGCUUGAAGUGAAAGCAGUUAUAUGAUAGCAAUGCAACAAGUUAACACAAAAACAAUGAUCUCUAGCCUUUUUGUCAUGUGAUAUAACUAAUGUCUUUAAGCCACUAUUAUUUGUGUAUUCCAUUACUUGUGGUUAAAAAGCAUUCCUGAUAGUGUAGAUUCCCAAUAAGUGUUUACUGAAUAUGAAUCUGUAUUGCAUUGUGAGUCUUGGGGGCAAAAUUCAAUAAAAUUAUCAUCUCUGCUCUCUACA
RNAcentral lists this long non-coding RNA (2990 nucleotides) under Homo sapiens (human). RNAcentral's name for it is "long independently transcribed non-coding RNA 2885 (LINC02885)". The record is from RNAcentral. Lineage: Eukaryota; Metazoa; Chordata; Mammalia; Primates; Hominidae.